UACAGAGGUCCCGAGCGUUGUUCGGAUUCACUGGGCGUAAAGGGUGCGUAGGUGGUCUCGCAAGUCUGAUGUGAAAUCUCCGGGCUUAACCCGGAAAUGGCAUUGGAAACUGCGGGGCUAGAGUGUUGGAGGGGGGACUGGAAUUCUCGGUGUAGCAGUGAAAUGCGUAGAUAUCGAGAGGAACACCAGUGGCGAAGGCGAGUCCCUGGACAACUACUGACACUGAGGCACGAAAGCUAGGGGAGCAAACAGG
RNAcentral lists this ribosomal RNA (253 nucleotides) under uncultured bacterium. Its description in RNAcentral is "partial 16S ribosomal RNA". It matches the Rfam family "Bacterial small subunit ribosomal RNA", at positions 524 to 776 of the family's 1533-position model. The record is from RNAcentral.